CACGUAGGGUGCGAGCGUUGUCCGGAAUUUAUUGGGCGUAAAGAGCUCGUAGGCGGUGUGUCGCGUCGGCCGUGAAAAACCUGCAGCUUAACUGUGGGCUUGCGGUCGAUACGGGCAUCACUGGAGUUCGGCAGGGGGAGACUGGAAUUCCUGGUGUAGCGGUGGAAUGCGCAGAUAUCAGGAGGAACACCGAUGCGAAGGCAGGUCUCUGGGCCAUUACUGACACUGAGAAAGCGAAA
This 239-nucleotide ribosomal RNA is filed under the name uncultured bacterium. RNAcentral describes it as "partial 16S ribosomal RNA". It matches the Rfam family "Bacterial small subunit ribosomal RNA", at positions 524 to 758 of the family's 1533-position model. The record is from RNAcentral.